GUGUGGAAGCACAGCAAUGUGUGAAGCUUACCGUUACUAAUAGCUCGAUCGACUUCUUCGUUC
Molecule: ribosomal RNA, 63 nt
Filed under: Agrobacterium sp. B1(2019)
Lineage: Bacteria; Pseudomonadati; Pseudomonadota; Alphaproteobacteria; Hyphomicrobiales; Rhizobiaceae
Description: partial 23S ribosomal RNA
Source: RNAcentral